CAGCACCCCGAGUGGUCGGGACGAUUAUUGGGCCUAAAGCAUCCGUAGCCGGUUCUACAAGUCUUCCGUUAAAUCCACCUGCUUAACAGAUGGGCCGCGGAGGAUACUAUAAGACUAGGAGGCAGGAGAGGCAAGCGGUACUCAGUGGGUAGGGGUAAAAUCCGUUGAUCCAUUGAAGACCACCAGUGGCGAAGGCGGCUUGCCAGAAUGCGCUCGACGGUAAGGGAUGAAAGCUGGGGGAGCAAACCGGAUUAGAUACCCGAGUAGUCC
This 270-nucleotide ribosomal RNA is filed under the name uncultured archaeon. RNAcentral's name for it is "partial 16S ribosomal RNA". It matches the Rfam family "Archaeal small subunit ribosomal RNA", at positions 477 to 747 of the family's 1478-position model. The record is from RNAcentral.